This 358-nucleotide ribosomal RNA is filed under the name uncultured Flavobacteriia bacterium. RNAcentral describes it as "bacterial SSU rRNA". It matches the Rfam family "Bacterial small subunit ribosomal RNA", at positions 469 to 826 of the family's 1533-position model. The record is from RNAcentral. Lineage: Bacteria; Pseudomonadati; Bacteroidota; Flavobacteriia.
UUGACGGUACUAUAUGAAUAAGGACCGGCUAACUCCGUGCCAGCAGCCGCGGUAAUACGGAGGGUCCAAGCGUUAUCCGGAUUUAUUGGGUUUAAAGGGUCCGCAGGCGGGAUUUUAAGUCAGUGGUGAAAGCCUACAGCUCAACUGUAGAACUGCCAUUGAAACUGAAAUUCUUGAGUGUGGUUGAAGUGGGCGGAAUAUGUCAUGUAGCGGUGAAAUGCUUAGAUAUGACAUAGAACACCAAUUGCGAAGGCAGCUCACUAAGCCAUUACUGACGCUCAGGGACGAAAGCGUGGGGAGCGAACAGGAUUAGAUACCCUGGUAGUCCACGCCGUAAACGAUGAUCACUCGUUGUUGG